This 126-nucleotide ribosomal RNA is filed under the name Chrysemys picta bellii (western painted turtle). The record is from RNAcentral. Lineage: Eukaryota; Metazoa; Chordata; Testudines; Emydidae.
GCAAGGUUAUAUUUGAUUAAAUGCAGCCAUACUGCCCCAGGGUUAUGACCUUGCAAGCUAAGCAGAAUCCAGUUUGGUCAGUAUUUAGAUGGGUGAUCUACAGUGAAAACCCAUUAUACUUUAGCA